This 482-nucleotide ribosomal RNA is filed under the name uncultured bacterium. Its description in RNAcentral is "partial 16S ribosomal RNA". It matches the Rfam family "Bacterial small subunit ribosomal RNA", at positions 30 to 507 of the family's 1533-position model. The record is from RNAcentral.
AUUGAACGCUGGCGGCAUGCCUUACACAUGCAAGUCGAACGGUAACGGGCCUUCGGGUGCCGACGAGUGGCGCACGGGUGAGUAAUACAUCGGAACGUGCCCGAUCGUGGGGGAUAACGAGGCGAAAGCUUUGCUAAUACCGCAUACGAUCUACGGAUGAAAGCAGGGGACCGCAAGGCCUUGCGCGGACGGAGCGGCCGAUGGCAGAUUAGGUAGUUGGUGGGAUAAAAGCUUACCAAGCCGACGAUCUGUAGCUGGUCUGAGAGGAUGAUCAGCCACACUGGGACUGAGACACGGCCCAGACUCCUACGGGAGGCAGCAGUGGGGAAUUUUGGACAAUGGGCGCAAGCCUGAUCCAGCCAUGCCGCGUGCAGGAUGAAGGCCUUCGGGUCGUAAACUGCUUUUGUACGGAACGAAAAGCCUUCUUUUAAUACAGGAGGGUCAUGACGGUACCGUAAGAAUAAGCACCGGCUAACUACGUG